UCUAAAAUGGCAGAUUAGUGCAACGAAUUUAAGUUUCGUAUAUUUAUAUAUAUAUUUUUUUAGAA
This 65-nucleotide transfer RNA is filed under the name Cerogria popularis. RNAcentral's name for it is "tRNA-Leu". The record is from RNAcentral. Lineage: Eukaryota; Metazoa; Arthropoda; Insecta; Coleoptera; Tenebrionidae.